Molecule: ribosomal RNA, 253 nt
Filed under: uncultured bacterium
Lineage: Bacteria
Description: partial 16S ribosomal RNA
Rfam family: Bacterial small subunit ribosomal RNA
Source: RNAcentral
UACGGAGGGUGCGAACGUUAAUCGGAAUCACUGGGCGUAAAGCGCGCGUAGGCGGUCCGUUAAGUGAGAUGUGAAAUCCCCGGGCUUAACCUGGGAAUUGCAUUUCAAACUGGCGGACUAGAGUGCGGUAGAGGGAGGUAGAAUUUCCUGUGUAGCGGUGAAAUGCGUAGAUAUAGGAAGGAAUACCAGUGGCGAAGGCGGCCUCCUGGAUCGACACUGACGCUGAGGCGCGAAAGCGUGGGGAGCAAACAGG